Molecule: non-coding RNA, 125 nt
Organism: Triticum aestivum (bread wheat)
Lineage: Eukaryota; Viridiplantae; Streptophyta; Magnoliopsida; Poales; Poaceae
Source: Rfam
CAUGUACUCCCUCCAUCCGAAAAUGCUCGUCAUUAAAAUAUAUGUAUUUAAAUAUAUUUUAGUUUUAGAUACAUUCAUUUUCAUCCAUUUUGAUGACAAAUAUUUUCGGAUGGAGGAAGUACAAU